This 279-nucleotide ribosomal RNA is filed under the name uncultured bacterium. RNAcentral's name for it is "partial 16S ribosomal RNA". It matches the Rfam family "Bacterial small subunit ribosomal RNA", at positions 506 to 784 of the family's 1533-position model. The record is from RNAcentral.
UGCCAGCCGCCGCGGUAAUACAGAGGGUGCAAGCGUUGUCCGGAUUUAUUGGGCGUAAAGAGUUUGUAGGCGGUCUACCAAGUCCGAAGUGAAAGAAUGGAGCUCAACUCCAUCCCCGCUUUGGAAACUGGCAGACUAGAGAAAGUUAGAGGUAAGUGGAAUUUCCAGUGUAGCGGUGAAAUGCGUAGAUAUUGGAAAGAACACCAGAGGCGAAGGCGACUUACUGGAACUUUUCUGACGCUGAGAAACGAAAGCUAGGGUAGCGAAUGGGAUUAGAUA